Molecule: ribosomal RNA, 503 nt
Filed under: uncultured bacterium
Lineage: Bacteria
Description: bacterial SSU rRNA
Rfam family: Bacterial small subunit ribosomal RNA
Source: RNAcentral
AUUGAACGCUGGCGGCAUGCUUUACACAUGCAAGUCGAACGGUAACAGGGAGCUUGCUCCGCUGACGAGUGGCGAACGGGUGAGUAAUGCAUCGGAACGUACCCAGUCGUGGGGGAUAACGUAGCGAAAGUUACGCUAAUACCGCAUACGUCCUGAGGGAGAAAGCGGGGGACCGUAAGGCCUCGCGCGAUUGGAGCGGCCGAUGUCGGAUUAGGUAGUUGGUGGGGUAAAGGCUCACCAAGCCAACGAUCUGUAGCUGGUCUGAGAGGACGACCAGCCACACUGGAACUGAGACACGGUCCAGACUCCUACGGGAGGCAGCAGUGGGGAAUUUUGGACAAUGGGCGCAAGCCGGUGAUCCAGCCAUUCCGCGUGCAGGAUGAAGGCCUCGGUUGUAAACUGCUUUGUACGGUACGAAACGGCGAGCGUCUAAUACAGUUUGCUAAUGACGGUACCGUAAGAAUAAGACACCGGCUAACUACGUGCCAGCAGCCGCGGUAAUG